UGAUCCUCCUGCCUCAGCCUCCUGAGCAGCUGGGACUACAGUCCUGUGCAAGAUCCUCUUGUUGGCAAACUCUAACCUGGGAGCAUGAGGAAGAGGACUGCGGGGAACGGUUUCCAGCCCUACGUAGACAUGGUGGUGGUGACGUGUUGACACAUGGGGGCUCCGCUUCGGACUUCGCAAUGAAUAAGGCCAGGGAACUGCAGCUGAUGGCUGGGUCAUCCGAGAGACCUUCAAUCUUUACUUUCUAUAAUGACAGAGCAAACCAUUCUAUUUGCUAUUUACUUUCCUGAUGGUAUCUUCAAGAAACUUCUGGAAAUAGGUCUUUGUGUCAACCAGAAACUGCUGGUCAGAGGAUAAGUUCUGGAGUUUUCUUGUAGAGCAUGGAGACUGCAGUUAAUAAUAACAUAUCAUAUACUUGAAGAUUGCUGAGAGUAGAUUCUAAACAUUAUUAUUUAUUUAUUUUCUUAGUUUUUUCGCCCCACUUCAAUAAGCUAGUCGAAGACAGUAGAUUUUAAAUGUUCUCACCACAAAAAAUGGUUAAGUAUGUGGGAUGAUAAAUAUGUUUGAUUUACUCAUUCCACAGUGUGUACGUAUAUCAAAGUAUCAUGUUGUAAACUAUAAAUAAAUAUCAUUUCUUAUUUGUCAAUUAAAA
Long non-coding RNA from Homo sapiens (human), 652 nucleotides. RefSeq lists it as uncharacterized. The transcript is spliced from 2 exons. Lineage: Eukaryota; Metazoa; Chordata; Mammalia; Primates; Hominidae. The record is from RefSeq and is a predicted model, not a curated record.